RNAcentral lists this non-coding RNA (24 nucleotides) under Cricetulus griseus (Chinese hamster). The record is from RNAcentral. Lineage: Eukaryota; Metazoa; Chordata; Mammalia; Rodentia; Cricetidae.
GAAUUCCAGGACAGCCAGGGCUAC